Molecule: ribosomal RNA, 120 nt
Filed under: uncultured bacterium
Lineage: Bacteria
Description: partial 16S ribosomal RNA
Rfam family: Bacterial small subunit ribosomal RNA
Source: RNAcentral
GCGCAGAUAGAUGAGCCGAUGUCGGAUUAGCUAGUUGGAGGGGUAAUGGCCCACCAAGGCGACGAUCCGUAGCUGGUCUGAGAGGAUGAUCAGCCACACUGGGACUGAGACACGGCCCAG